RNAcentral lists this ribosomal RNA (253 nucleotides) under uncultured bacterium. Its description in RNAcentral is "partial 16S ribosomal RNA". It matches the Rfam family "Bacterial small subunit ribosomal RNA", at positions 524 to 776 of the family's 1533-position model. The record is from RNAcentral.
UACGGAGGGUGCGAGCGUUAAUCGGAAUUACUGGGCGUAAAGCGUGCGUAGGCGGCUUUUCAAGUCGAUUGUGAAAUCCCCGGGCUUAACCUGGGAACUGCAGUCGAGACUGUCUAGCUAGAGUAUGGGAGAGGGAAGUGGAAUUUCAGGUGUAGCGGUGAAAUGCGUAGAUAUCUGAAGGAACAUCAGUGGCGAAAGCGACUUCCUGGACCAAUACUGACGCUCAUGUGCGAAAGCGUGGGGAGCAAACAGG